GAAAUGCGAUAAGUAGUGUGAAUUGCAGAAUUCAGUGAAUCAUCGAAUCUUUGAACGCACAUUGCGCCCUUUGGUAUUCCGAAGGGCAUGCCUGUUCGAGCGUCAUUGAAAGCCAUCAAGCACGGCUUGGUGUUGGGCGUUUGUUCUGCCGCUCCGGCGCGGAACUCGCCUCAAAUCCAUCGGCGGCACGCGAUGUGGGCUUGCAGCACAGCAGAUUGUGCCGUUGCAAGCGUCCACUGCGAGGCCUGCCGCAAGGCCUCUUUCUCUGGAAUCGACCUCGGAUCAGGUAGGGAUACCCGCUGAACUUAA
Molecule: unclassified non-coding RNA, 309 nt
Filed under: uncultured Pleosporales
Lineage: Eukaryota; Fungi; Ascomycota; Dothideomycetes; Pleosporales
Description: sequence contains ITS1
Rfam family: 5.8S ribosomal RNA (bases 1-105)
Source: RNAcentral